Long non-coding RNA from Branchiostoma floridae (Florida lancelet), 1003 nucleotides. RefSeq lists it as uncharacterized. NCBI's taxonomy places the organism in Eukaryota, Metazoa, Chordata, Leptocardii, Amphioxiformes, Branchiostomatidae. The record is from RefSeq and is a predicted model, not a curated record. The transcript has 3 exons.
AUCAGAACGUAGUUAUUGUUUUGAAGUUAAAGAUCCAUCAGUUGUGUGAAAAAUAACAGUGCCCUGCACAUGGUCGUUGUUUGUCGUGUUUUGACUUGUCCUGUCCGCCCAGCAACUAUAAAUCCAUGCCUGGAGCCAAAUCUGGCACGUGCGAAAACACCAUUUGUACCAUCGCCUGUUUUGCAAGCACGGCUGUUUGUUGAUCUGGAACAGACCCGAAAACACAUUUCUACCAUCGCCUGUUUUGCAAGCCCGGCUGUUUGUUGAUUUGGGACAGACCUCGGGCCUGUGACCUAGAAACCUUUCAAAGGUCAGUGACUCAAUGCUUUCCCAAGGGACCUUAUGACCAGUUUUUGGAGAAGACCGAACAGGUUCAAACUGGUUUGAUCCCCCCCCGACCUAUGGCUUCUCCAAUCAGGGAGAAGUUUUAAAACAUUUGACCAAUAGGACAAAACUGCCCCCCUCCUGUCAAUCUUCCGACACUGGGAGGGUCCGGGUAUACACUCCGGUCCUUGUCUGUUGACGAGACAGAAGGAGCGGGGCGUCCGAGGCGUUAACAUGGGGUUUGGGGUCAUCUCAGCUGUAACUUUUCUGGACGUUACGACUGUAGUUUGGAGUCUGUUUCCGCUGCAGAUACAAGGACAUGCAUCACUUCUGACAAGGUAGCAUGGCCGCCCGCAGACUUCAGAAGGAAUUCACUGCUGCAUAAAGGUCAACUUCUCCAUGACUCUGGCCGCAAACAGAAUUCACUGGACCCCGGUCACGGAAACGCUGGGGCGUGUGCCGAUAUCACCCAGGAAAACAAACAAAAAAGCAAGAAAAGAAAAGAAACCAAUAGAGUAAAAAGUGGCAAAGGUCACCCGAAAACACAUGAUACAAAACACACAAAUAAAACAUAAAACCCUCCAACAAAACAACACUUCUAUCACACAGUAAGAAUACGCAAAAUAAAGGACAGCAUCAUGUAGUCAAAGAAGUCUGCCUGUCUUAAAAAGUCCAAUGU